GGAUGAACGCUGGCGGCGUGCCUAAUACAUGCAAGUCGAGCGAACAGACGAGGAGCUUGCUCCUCUGACGUUAGCGGCGGACGGGUGAGUAACACGUGGAUAACCUACCUAUAAGACUGGGAUAACUUCGGGAAACCGGAGCUAAUACCGGAUAAUAUAUUGAACCGCAUGGUUCAAUAGUGAAAGACGGUUUUGCUGUCACUUAUAGAUGGAUCCGCGCCGCAUUAGCUAGUUGGUAAGGUAACGGCUUACCAAGGCAACGAUGCGUAGCCGACCUGAGAGGGUGAUCGGCCACACUGGAACUGAGACACGGUCCAGACUCCUACGGGAGGCAGCAGUAGGGAAUCUUCCGCAAUGGGCGAAAGCCUGACGGAGCAACGCCGCGUGAGUGAUGAAGGUCUUCGGAUCGUAAAACUCUGUUAUUAGGGAAGAACAAAUGUGUAAGUAACUAUGCACGUCUUGACGGUACCUAAUCAGAAAGCCACGGCUAACUACGUGCCAGCAGCCGCGGUAAUACGUAGGUGGCAAGCGUUAUCCGGAAUUAUUGGGCGUAAAGCGCGCGUAGGCGGUUUUUUAAGUCUGAUGUGAAAGCCCACGGCUCAACCGUGGAGGGUCAUUGGAAACUGGAAAACUUGAGUGCAGAAGAGGAAAGUGGAAUUCCAUGUGUAGCGGUGAAAUGCGCAGAGAUAUGGAGGAACACCAGUGGCGAAGGCGACUUUCUGGUCUGUAACUGACGCUGAUGUGCGAAAGCGUGGGGAUCAAACAGGAUUAGAUACCCUGGUAGUCCACGCCGUAAACGAUGAGUGCUAAGUGUUAGGGGGUUUCCGCCCCUUAGUGCUGCAGCUAACGCAUUAAGCACUCCGCCUGGGGAGUACGACCGCAAGGUUGAAACUCAAAGGAAUUGACGGGGACCCGCACAAGCGGUGG
Molecule: ribosomal RNA, 927 nt
Filed under: Staphylococcus epidermidis
Lineage: Bacteria; Bacillati; Bacillota; Bacilli; Caryophanales; Staphylococcaceae
Description: bacterial SSU rRNA
Rfam family: Bacterial small subunit ribosomal RNA
Source: RNAcentral